RNAcentral lists this unclassified non-coding RNA (399 nucleotides) under uncultured Ascomycota. RNAcentral's name for it is "sequence contains ITS2". The stretch from base 1 to 154 matches the Rfam family "5.8S ribosomal RNA". The record is from RNAcentral. Lineage: Eukaryota; Fungi; Ascomycota.
AACUUUUGGCAAUGGAUCUCUUGGUUCUCGCAUCGAUGAAGAACGCAGCGAAAUGCGAUAAGUAGUGUGAAUUGCAGAAUCUCGUGAAUCAUCGAAUCUUUGAACGCAUAUUGCGCCCUUCGGUAUUCCGAAGGGCAUGCCUGUUCGAGCGUCAUGUAAACAUGGUUCAAGUUUGGACUUUCAGCCGACUUGGUUCUGAGCGGUGAGCGCGCAGUAACAUCACGUUCCCCGCUUGAAAUACAACUGCGAAGACGGCUUCUUCGUUCGGUGUAGUAAUGGUUCCUAACCCCUUCACCUUCGAGCAUUCCGUUUUCAGCUGCCAUCACUGACGCCUUUGAUUUUGACCUCGGAUCAGGUAGGGAUACCCGCUGAACUUAAGCAUAUCAAUAAGCGGAGGCU